GCAAGUCGAGCGCACCCUUCGGGGCGAGCGGCGGACGGGUUAGUAACGCGUGGGAAUAUACCCUUCACUAUGGAAUAGCCUUUGGAAACGAAGAGUAAUACCAUAUACGCCCUUCGGGGGAAAGAUUUAUCGGAGAAGGAUUGGCCCGCGUUAGAUUAGAUAGUUGGUGGGGUAACGGCCUACCAAGUCACCGAUCUAUAGCUGGUUUGAGAGGAUGAUC
This 220-nucleotide ribosomal RNA is filed under the name uncultured bacterium. Its description in RNAcentral is "partial 16S ribosomal RNA". It matches the Rfam family "Bacterial small subunit ribosomal RNA", at positions 57 to 305 of the family's 1533-position model. The record is from RNAcentral.